UCCUCCGCCCCGUCGAGCUAGAGCCUGUCUCCAGAAGGAUGCUCUUGCUCCAGACUCUUGACUGCUCUCCUUCCCUGGACGGCACCGCGGGCGGAGUGCGGUGGGCUGGGCCGGGCCUGGACUGCAAGGAGGGGGGCUUUGUGCUGACUCUGGAAGGCCUCUGUGUAUCCUCAGCUUUGAGAACUGAAUUCCAUGGGUUGUGUCAGUGUCAGACCUGUGAAGUUCAGUUCUUCAGCUGGGAUAGCUCUGUCAUCGUGGACCCGAGGAACACUGGAGAGAGCAGCGGAAGAACUUGGAAGACUGGAGAUGGAAGGGCCAAGCCUCGGCUCUGAAGGAACAGGGAGGGUGGGUUCAGGGGAAAAGCACUCAUCCAAUUUCGAGAAGACUUGAAUUCUAUGCUGAGCAAUGUUCCAACUAGCUAAACCGAUGCUCCUGGCGAAUCAUUCUUACUGUUGCUGCUGUUCCAACUAGUUUACAUUUAUCGAGUCGUUGCAACAAGCCAGGUACUGUACUAACUGCUUUCCACGCUGUUGCAGGAGACUCCUGCGGGCGGAGACACCCAGCACUGCCAUGCAGUGAUUUUUCUCCUUUUCAUGGGAUUAGACAGGAUUCGUGGAAUGUGACCAGUGUUCUUUAGUAUACAUUGCUGAGGUUACUGGUUCCUUUUUAAGAUGAGAAACAUAGGUACAUCCCUGUUAUGGUCCCCCCUCACCCUUUAAUUGAAUCUCAACUUUCUUGCCUUCUAUCAAUACAUUUGGGCUACUUCGUAUCUGUGUAUUCCAAACAAGGCAAAAGGAUUGUCACUAGCCUUUACCCCAGUUUCUCCCAGGGUUGUGAUGGCCCCUUCAUUUGCUGGCAUGGCCAGCUGUGUGCUGUGGGUCAGGCCCUCUGUUGUCCUCUGUCACCAAGUCAGCUGGGUCUGAUCCGAGUCUGGGUCUUGCUGUGACAAUGACGAUUUCCACCUUUAUAGGGUUGGGGGCUGUGUAUGUGCUCUUUGGACUUCAUUAGGCUUUAGCUUGGAUGGGGAACUCAUCUUUGAUUCUGCACUAUCUCUUGGUGUCCUGAAAUGCCCAACUCAUUAUAGUCUACAGAGUGGAAGUGUGGCCUGCCCCAGAGACCCUCCAGCAUGUGGAUUCUCACUCUGCCUUCUCAGUGACAUGUUUAUUGAGUGGGUACUAUGUGCCAGGCACAGUGCUCAGGGCAUUUUGUGAGUGAUCACAGGGAAUCCCACAUCAAACCUCACCUGGGAAAUGAGGAUGGAUUAGCAAAAGGAUGUCCUGUAAAACAGUGUACCUACAUUCUACUGAUGCAAAGGGUGCUUGGUCCUUCUGAGAGCCCCCAGCCUGGGUGUGGGAUGUGGGUGUGCUCUCUGGGCUGGGCUGAUCACAUCACCGCCCCCACCUGUCUCACUCUGCCCACUUCCACCCUUUGCUUACUACACCCUUAGCCAGUGACUCAUUCUAGAACCAGAACACCGGUGAGACUCAACUGAGACCGGAGAUUAGUGCCAUUAGUCCUAGGCCACUAGGGAAAGUUCAGAGUUUACACCAGAGGCUUCAAUACUCUGUGUUUGGGACCAUCUCUGCUCUGAACACUGACUUAGACCCAGAACUCUGACUUACUCCAAAAGACUCGUUCUUAUUGCAGGCAAACUCUUCCUGAAGCAAGCCUGAUAAGUGAGAUGCACACACACACACACACACACACACACACACACACACAAUAACUCUGUGGAUCUGUGGGGAGUCAGCAAAAAUUCACGACAUAAAAGAAAGCUUCAUUUCCUAAGAGGAUUUGUGCUAAGAUUCCACUAAGUAAUACAUUUUCCGAGUAUCUUUGAGGUUGUAUGAGCUUUAUCUAAACUUAUUUUAUACAAGUUUAAAAAAUAGAAUACAAACUAGUUUGGAUUAUACAUAAAAUUUAUGGAAGUAUAUAGGAUUAUGUACAUUGAAAAAUGUACAUCAAUUUAUUAAUGGGGAUUGUCUCCAGGGCAGUGAAAAUUGAGAUGCCUUUUCCUUUCUUUGUAUUUUUCUCUAUUGUUUGAUUCUUACGCUGAGCAUAUUUAUUUAAAACAAUAAAGUUAUUGAAGGAUG
Myotis myotis is the source of this 2093-nucleotide long non-coding RNA. RefSeq lists it as uncharacterized. The transcript has 2 exons. The record is from RefSeq and is a predicted model, not a curated record. Lineage: Eukaryota; Metazoa; Chordata; Mammalia; Chiroptera; Vespertilionidae.